This 655-nucleotide ribosomal RNA is filed under the name uncultured Alphaproteobacteria bacterium. RNAcentral describes it as "bacterial SSU rRNA". It matches the Rfam family "Bacterial small subunit ribosomal RNA", at positions 83 to 772 of the family's 1533-position model. Lineage: Bacteria; Pseudomonadati; Pseudomonadota; Alphaproteobacteria. The record is from RNAcentral.
CCUUCGGGCUUAGUGGCGCACGGGUGCGUAACACGUGGGAAUCUGCCCUUAGGUACGGAAUAACUCAGGGAAACUUGAGCUAAUACCGUAUGAUGUCUUCGGACCAAAGAUUUAUCGCCUAAGGAUGAGCCCGCGUCGGAUUAGCUAGUUGGUGGGGUAAAGGCCUACCAAGGCGACGAUCCGUAGCUGGUCUGAGAGGAUGAUCAGCCACACUGGGACUGAGACACGGCCCAGACUCCUACGGGAGGCAGCAGUGGGGAAUAUUGGACAAUGGGCGAAAGCCUGAUCCAGCAAUGCCGCGUGAGUGAAGAAGGCCUUCGGGUUGUAAAGCUCUUUUACCCGGGAAGAUAAUGACUGUACCGGGAGAAUAAGCCCCGGCUAACUCCGUGCCAGCAGCCGCGGUAAUACGGAGGGGGCUAGCGUUGUUCGGAAUUACUGGGCGUAAGGCGCACGUAGGCGGCUUUACAAGUCAGGGGUGAAAGCCCGCGGCUCAACCGCGGAAUUGCCCUUGAGACUGUAUCGCUUGAACACGGGGAGAGGUGAGUGGAAUUCCGAGUGUAGAGGUGAAAUUCGUAGAUAUUCGGAAGAACACCAGUGGCGAAGGCGGCUCACUGGACCGUANUUGACGCUGAGGUGCGAAAGCGUGGGGAGCAAC